RNAcentral lists this non-coding RNA (25 nucleotides) under Cricetulus griseus (Chinese hamster). Lineage: Eukaryota; Metazoa; Chordata; Mammalia; Rodentia; Cricetidae. The record is from RNAcentral.
UGAAAGGGUUGUGCUGAGUAAUUAA